This 887-nucleotide ribosomal RNA is filed under the name Polyphilus sieberi. RNAcentral's name for it is "eukaryotic LSU rRNA". It matches the Rfam family "Eukaryotic large subunit ribosomal RNA", at positions 34 to 939 of the family's 3401-position model. The record is from RNAcentral. Lineage: Eukaryota; Fungi; Ascomycota; Leotiomycetes; Helotiales.
CUAGCAUAUCAAUAAGCGGAGGAAAAGAAACCAACAGGGAUUGCCUCAGUAACGGCGAGUGAAGCGGCAACAGCUCAAAUUUGAAAUCUGGCUCUUUCAGGGUCCGAGUUGUAAUUUGUAGAAGAUGCUUCGGGUGUGGCUCCGGUCUAAGUUCCUUGGAACAGGACGUCAUAGAGGGUGAGAAUCCCGUAUGUGACUGGGUGCCUUCGCUCAUGUGAAGCUCUUUCGACGAGUCGAGUUGUUUGGGAAUGCAGCUCAAAAUGGGUGGUAAAUUUCAUCUAAAGCUAAAUAUUGGCCAGAGACCGAUAGCGCACAAGUAGAGUGAUCGAAAGAUGAAAAGCACUUUGGAAAGAGAGUUAAACAGUACGUGAAAUUGUUGAAAGGGAAGCGCUUGCAACCAGACUUGCACGCGGUUGAUCAUCCGGUGUUCUCACCGGUGCACUCUGCCGCGUUCAGGCCAGCAUCGGUUUUGGUGGUUGGAUAAAGGCCUAGGGAAUGUAGCUUCUUUCGGGGAGUGUUAUAGCCCUAGGUGCAAUGCAGCCUACUAGGACCGAGGACCGCGCUUCGGCUAGGAUGCUGGCGUAAUGGUUGUAAGCGACCCGUCUUGAAACACGGACCAAGGAGUCUAACAUCUAUGCGAGUGUUUGGGUGUCAAACCCAUACGCGUAAUGAAAGUGAACGGAGGUGAGAACCCUUAAGGGUGCAUCAUCGACCGAUCCUGAUGUCUUCGGAUGGAUUUGAGUAAGAGCAUAGCUGUUGGGACCCGAAAGAUGGUGAACUAUGCGUGAAUAGGGUGAAGCCAGAGGAAACUCUGGUGGAGGCUCGCAGCGGUUCUGACGUGCAAAUCGAUCGUCAAAUUUGCGCAUAGGGGCGAAAGACUAAUCGAA